UACGUAGGGUGCAAGCGUUGUCCGGAAUUAUUGGGCGUAAGGAGCUCGUAGGCGGUUUGUUGCGUCGGCUGUGAAAUCCCGAGGCUCAACCUCGGGUCUGCAGUCGAUACGAGCAAACUAGAGUGUUGCAGGGGAGACUGGAAUUCCUGGUGUAGCGGUGGAAUGCGCAGAUAUCAGGAGGAACACCGGUGGCGAAGGCGGUUCUCUGGGCAUUACCUGACGCUGAGGCACGAAAGCCAGGGGAGCAAACGGG
Molecule: ribosomal RNA, 253 nt
Filed under: uncultured bacterium
Lineage: Bacteria
Description: partial 16S ribosomal RNA
Rfam family: Bacterial small subunit ribosomal RNA
Source: RNAcentral